Panicum virgatum (switchgrass) is the source of this 4089-nucleotide long non-coding RNA. RefSeq lists it as uncharacterized. The record is from RefSeq and is a predicted model, not a curated record. The transcript has 6 exons. Lineage: Eukaryota; Viridiplantae; Streptophyta; Magnoliopsida; Poales; Poaceae.
UCGUUCGCCGUACUCCUCGCUGUGAGCCGCCCGGCCCAGACCCCCUGCCCAAUCCGGCAUUGCAGGCCGGCGGGUGGCAGCCCCGUGCAGGGCACCAAUUUGAUGCACAUGUUGCCCUCAAAUUUGAACCUUAAAGAAGGUUCAAAUUUGAGGGCAAUCAGUUUUUUAUUUAGUUUGUUUACUACAUUAUAUUGUUUGUAAUUCAAGUUAAUUGUGUUUGUAAUUUAAGUUAAUUUGUUGUGAUUAACAUUAAUUUGAUUAGUGCAUUAAUUUGUUUGUAAUUUAACCUCAAUUUGGAUGUAUUUAGAUGGAAAUUUACUUGGAAAUGUAGAUGGAAAUUUUGAUUCUUGGAAUUUUGGAUCCUUAGAAAUUUAGUAUGCAAAUUUAGUUUGGAAAUUUAGAUGGAAAUUUAGUUUGGAAAAUUAGUUGGAAAUUUAGAUAGAAAUUUAGAUGGAAAUUUUGAUCCUUGGAAUUUUGGAUCCUUAGAAAUUUAGUAUGGAAGUUUAGUUUGGAAAUUUAGAUGGAAAUUUAGUUUGAAAAACUAGUUGGAAAGUAAGCUAGAAAUUUAGAUGGAAAUUUUGAUCCGGUGAAUUUUGGAUCCUUGGAAAUUUAGUAUGGAAGUUUAGUUUGGAAAUUUAGAUGGAAAUUUAGUUUGAAAAAUUAGUUGGAAAUUUAGAUAGAAAUUUAGAUGGAAUUUUGGAUCCUUAGAAAUUAGUAUGCAAAUUUACUUUGGAAAUUUAGAUGGAAAUUGAGUUUAAAAUUUAGUUUGAAAUGUAUUGGAAUUUUAGUUUCAAAUUUAGAUGGAAAUUAAGUUGGAUACUUACUUUAAUUUGAUCAAAAUAAUUUGUAUAUUCAAUAGUUAGUUAAGAUGGAUUCGCGACGUGACGAGAUUGAUGAUGAGCAAUUCUUAAUGGACAUGAUUGCAUCCGGUAGCGCGGCCGCGGCUCCUCAUGCCGACGACACCGGUGAUGUUGCCAAUACCAACAUAUACCUCAAUAUGUCCGGUGGCGAGAAAAUUGAUCAAAAUACAGCUGCUGCUGCUGCUGACCAGGAAGGAAACAUAUAUACCUGAAUAUCGAUCCUUAUGUUCUAAGUCGUACUUACAAUGAGUCAUAACCAUAAGUCGUACUUACAAUGAGUCAUAACCAUGAAUAUAUAUUUAUUUUUUUGAAGCCAUCUGGAUCGUCAAGUCAGCAUACCAAAAAAACGAAGCGAGGCCCGACCAAGAAAUUGGAAGGGCGAUUUAUCAUAACAGAAGUGACUCUAGAUGGUGAACCAAUCGCUCCAGAAUCAGCCGCAAAGAAAUAUGUUAGGCAAUGUGGUUGUCUUGUACGGGACCACAUCCCUAUCAGAUUUAGGUUAUGGAAAGCUAACAAUCCAAGCGAGCAAAGGGAUGCGGUGCCUGAAAGAGAAAAGGAGUGGCUCUGGCGGGAGCUGAAGAAGAACUUCACGGUUACGGCUGAAUCAGAAGAAGCAGCUAAGCGCUGGACCCUGAGCAAGAUGGCCGAACAACUUCAGACCAUUAAGAAGAAUUUGACGAAGAAUUAUAUAAAGAAAGGGAAAAUGCCAGAGUUCACUAGAGACCUUGCAAAGUAGACGGACCACUGGAAUGCCUUUGUGGCAUAUAAGUCUUCAGAGCUUGGGAUUCGGAACGUGAAAAAAACCAAGGAAAAUGCCUCCAAAAAAGUAUAUCAUCAUGGUGGGUAUAAGAUGGCAAAACCAAAAUGGGAGAAGAUGGAGCAGGAUAUGAUUGACAAAGAUAUCACGCCUGUGACCAUCACCUGGCCUGAACGUUCAAAGAACUGGUACUAUGCUCAUGGUGGAACAUUGGACCCAGAGACGGGUGAGGGCAUCUUUGGCUAGAAAAUUUAGCAGGGGUCCCGCAGACUACAGGAGGCCAUACAAGCAGUUAGCCAAGGCACAUUCCAGCCCGAUAGAGAAAAGGACGAACUGACAUACGCCCUUCAGAACUCAGAACAUCCGGGGCGUACAAGGGGCAAGGGAGUGGUUGCGUGGAAAUAUGGCUUCAAAGAUUACAUCGAAACAUAUAGAAGUCGGGAUAGAAGGAAGAACGAGCAGCGCCUGCACUUGCGAAGGCUAGAGGAACAGUUCCUCUCACAAGAUGAAAGAAUGGCAGAAGAGGUUAAGCGCCAGGUGGCCAUAGCAAUGAGUCAGCAGCAACAACAACAAGCGGAGCCUGCAGAGUCUAUUGUCGAUGCGGUCGGCCUAUCUCAAUGUAAAAGCAGCUGCGCCUCCACAGGCCUCCCUGUCGAUACGGGAAUCCCGCUAUUGAUACGAUGGCUGAGUAGCACUAUCCAGUGGAUGAGAUCACCCAACGGACACCUUGAGCGCUUCAAACUUGCAGUAAGAACUUAAGGUUCACGGUAGCGUACGGUUCCGCCAUGCCAAGCACACCAGGCGAGGUGUACCAUGGGCAGGAGAUCCCGGCUGGAUACACUAAAGUUGGGGUCGAGGAGGUGUGCAAUGAUUGGAUGAAUCUCGAGCUCGAUAUUCCUGGAGGUGACGGGGAGACAACCGUAGCAGACGCCGUUCAUGGUUACAUCAUAUGGGACAAGAGGUACAUCAUCCUCAAUCCUACCGAUCAGGGAUCAAGGCCGGCAUCGCCGCAACACGCUCAUCGUUCACCUCCUCCGCCACCAUCUCCGGAAUCUGCCCCAGAACACUCUGCUGCUGAGCCGUCAUCUCCUAGUUAGCCGUUGACUACUUCUGCUGAGCCACCAUCUCCUAGCUCACCUCCUCCGCCACCGCCAAAGAAGCGAAAAAAGACGGAGCCUGAGAAUAAGGAUAAACCACUGGAUGCUUUAAAAUUAAAAUUUUUUAUUAGAAUGAAGGAAUCAAAUAGAAGAAAGUUCAUUGGGAAACCGCUGCUUUCGGACUACGACCCCUCGAUUAAGAAAUCAUACGACAAGAGACAAUCAGGGUCAUCAUCGUCCGGUGUUCCACAGCUCGGGGCCCAACAAAAACAAUCAAUAGAACCGCUAGUUGUUCUAAACCAGGAACAACAAGGCUUUCUGGGGUUCUUGCAAUCAGCAAAGCUCACUACUGAUCAGAUAACAGGGGUUUCGAAUCAAGAUCUGGAUCCGCUGAAAGAGUAUCUGAUAGCUCUAGUGGUCAAAUAGCACUAUAAGGAGGGCACCAGCCUUGUCCCCCCAGAUAUUGUGCAGUUGCUUCCAACGCAAAUGCGAAGGCUACAUGACUUGUACAUGAAGGUGAUGAGAGAAUGCAACUUCAUGCAGGUCGCAAAGAUUGGAGAUGAAGAUUUCUUUCGUGGAGAGGCCAUCAUAUGGAUUGAUUGGGAAGAAGUGUACCAAUUAUACCAUCAGGACGCCCUCGACAUCUCUAUGGUCGCUUUGUGGCUUUUGAUGGAGAUUCAAACAUGCCGGAAAAAGGGUAUUAUCACAUCGGCUUUGUCGACCCACAGGUUGUGAAUUGCAAGAAUCUCCAGAGCAAUCCUGCAGAAACAUUCAAAAACUUGUACAAGUACCUAAACAUUCAACAUUACAAGAGUCUCAUUCUAUUUCCGUACAACUUUGCAGAUCACUGGAUACUAGUUGUCAUAUUUCCGGACUUGAGCUUAGCAGUUGUUAUGGACUCUUUGCGGAGCGAUCCGGACCAAUACAAAGACAUGAGCGACAUGUUGAACAAGGUUUGGAAGAAAUUCGUUCGAAAGCAUAGUGGCAAUUUCAGCGCCGAACUAAAAUGGAAGAAAAACAUUCCGUGUCGUAGGCAGGCGCAAGGAACUAAUUUAUGCGCAUACUAUGUCAUAGAAAAUAUCCAUGGCCUGGUAUGUCCUCAAAAGACCGAAAGCUAAUGGGAGAAGGAAGUUUAUCAAAUGCAUGACUCACUCAUACCAGAGGAAAGGAUCCUGGCGAUUCAAGAAGCCUUGAGCGAAUUUAUUGUUCGCGAGGUCCUCGACCCGGCAGGAGAAUUCUACUGAUGGCGUGUUAAACAUAGAUAAUAGGAGUAAAUAUGACAAAAUUAAAUAAAACUUUAGUUGCACUUUGUGUGUAAUUGACUUUUGUGUUGCACUUUAUAUGAGUAAAUGAAUAUAUAUUUAUAUUUAUAUUA